Molecule: long non-coding RNA, 17316 nt
Filed under: Triticum aestivum (bread wheat)
Lineage: Eukaryota; Viridiplantae; Streptophyta; Magnoliopsida; Poales; Poaceae
Description: long non-coding RNA (TAES_LNC020138)
Source: RNAcentral
GUUGCUAUUCUUCUUUCCCUUCCCUGCUUCAUCAUCAUCAGGCUCGGGAUCCUUGGUACUGCCCGAAUCGGCAUACUUCACUAAAGCGGCCAUGAGGGUUCCCAUGUCAUUACAGAACCGCUUCAUGCGUCCCAACUUGAAUUUUAGAGGCUCAAACCGACAGUUGCCUUCCAGAGUUAAGAUCGUAGAGUCAGCAUUAAUCCUGUCAGAUGAGUACAAAAUUUCUGAAACGCGGCGCACCCAACGGGUCGUUGAUUCUCCUUCCUCCUGGACACAAGCCGCCAGGUCUACUAUGGACUUGGGCUGCUUACAUGUAUCCUUAAAAUUCUGUAUAAACCGGGCCCGCAACUGGCCCAUGAGCUGAUAGAAUUGGGUGGUAGGCUCUUUAACCAAGUACGAGCCGUGCCCUCAAGCAUCAUGGUGAAGUAUUUUGCACAUGCGGCCUCAUCCACGUCUAGCAUUUCCAUGGCCAUCUCAUAACUCUCUACCCAUGCUUCAGGGGGUAAAUCAGCGGUGUAAUUCAGCACCUUGCGUGGACCCUUGAAAUCUUUGGGCAGGCGCACAUUGCGUAAAGCGGGGAUUAAACAAGGCACUCCCAAAGCGGAUGCGACUCCUGGUCCGGCAAAGGUGGUAGGGCGAACCGGUGUAAGUUGAUCCGCACCAUCCUGCGCUGCUAACUCGGCUUCCCUCCGUGUCCGGGCUCGGUCCACCACAUCCUGAGCCUCGCGAACACCGCCUGCCGGGCUAUUGCCAUGUGCUGCUUCACAACCUCGCGCAUUGCUCGAUAUAGCCGGUUCAUCCAUGCGCCUGCUAUAGCUCCGGCUUGGACGGGGCAUAGAGUGAAUCCAAUCACGGCUGUACGAGUAUGCUUCCUGCUGAAUCAGCGUGGUCCGGAGAAGCUCCUUAACCCGGUGUGUCUCUAUCGCUUGCGGAGAGUCCCCUUCAACUGGGAUAGCCUCUAAUCGCGCGGCAGCUGCAACAAGGUUGUCCAUAGGAUUAGAAUAAUGACCUGGGGGCGUCUGGACCGGCGGAAAAUUCAUAAUGUUCUGCUGAGGAGGUUCCAUCAGGCGAGGUUGGACCGCCCCCCUGUUCCUGGUGCCUCAAUCCGGUUUGUCUCUGGGUACUGUGGCGGAUUACUGGGUCCAGCUCCUGGAGUGUGAAAGAGAUUUCGGGGGUCAAACCCUAACGACAGGCGUGAUCUGUGCUUCCGCUUCAAAACCUCCUGUGAUGCGUUCUGGUCAAGCAUGAGUUUAUAGGCCUGGGCGUCCAAAGCGGCCCGUUUUGCAGCCAUCCUGUCUUUUUCUGCUGCCAGAUCCGCUUUGUCUUGCACGAUCUGCUCUUUCACCUUUGCGAUUUCUGCAUUAUGGGCCUCCUUAUCCGCCGGAUUGUCCUCUGCCAUAAGCGCGGCUAGUGCAUCAAACAGAUCAGAUAGAACUUGAACCGGCGGGCGCACAAGGCCUCCUGCCCCUGCUGCGGCUGCCGCUGCUGAUCCGGAGAGCAUUGCUGCGGCGGUCGAAGAGUAAUUCGCCGCCUGUGUGCCGGCCAUGAAUGUUCCAACCCGGUUGACCUGGCCCGGGGGGUCCGGAAUACUGUCGCCAUCGGAACAGCCCCUAAUCUGGUCGUCUUGCAACUGGUAUAGUGAUUCGGUCUCUCCGGUCGAGGACUCGUCAUCGAAAUAGACGACGGUCUCACUACCGUGUUCUGAUUCGUCCUCACGCUCUCCUUCGUGGAUGACUCCAACGAAGACACGCUUCACGGCCGGUUUAGCCCAGGUAGAUCUCGCACGCUGAGCCGUCUCGAUGAGGUUGGUGCAGAUGUCCGGCUUAGGCCCAGGCUCACCGAUUUUGCCAAUGAAAACGUGUAUGCCACCAAAGGGGACCCGGUACCCGUACUCGAUCGAAUCGGCCUCGGGACCCCAUCCUGCAUCGUCGAUGUAGAUCCUGCCCUGACGACUCUUGGUCAUCCGGCCCACAACAUAGCCUUCGAGUCCCUUGAGCUUGCCCUCCAAGAUCGUCAAACCAUCAUGCGAUAGCCCCACGGUGGGCGCCAACUGUCGUGGAUUUGUCACGGCAGAUGUCCUAGCGGAAGGACUUAGUUGUGGAGCCAUCGCCACGGGUUUACUUGAAGGGGUUAAAGCGGACACAAAGACACGAGGGUUUUAUACUAGUUCGUCCCCUUCGAUGAAGGUAAAAGCCUACGUCUAGUUGUGAUGGAAUUGAUAUGAUCUCGAUGGCUAGGGAGCAAACAAGCUUCGCCUAGGCUCGAGUUGUGGUUGUCUGUCUUGAACCGCCACCGGGUCGUCCCCUUAUAUACACGGGUGACGCCCGUCGGUCCAUAGAGUCCUAACCGGUUCAUACUCGUAUUCCGGUUGGUAUCUCUCUAUUCCUUACUUACAAUACAAGUCAUACAUCAGGCCGGUUUACGGCUACAUGUUCUAACCGACUACAGGCCUUGGGCCUUCAUCUGUUUACGCCACUAAUGAAGUUAACCCGGCCCAAGUAGGCCGGUUUACGCCUAGUGGUAAUAUCCCCAACACUUGUUACUAUGGAAAGUAAUCCUCUGAGGGGCUUGUUCGGGGUAUCUUCACCCCGACCGGUAGAGCAAAGAGUUGCUCCUCAACCUACUGAACCUAUUGAAAAUGAAAAUGUCCCCUUUGAAGUUCCUUCGGGUAUGUUAGAAAAACUGCUAGCUGAUCCUUUUGCAGGAGAUGGAACAAAGCAUCCCGAUGAGCAUCUAAUCUAUGUGGAUGAAGUUUGUGGAUUAUUUAAGCUUGCAGGUAUACCCAAUGAUGUUGUUAAGAAGAAGGUCUUCCCUUUAUCUUUUGAGGGAUAUGCAUCAACAUGGUAUAGGCUAUGUGAUGAUACGGGGUCAUGGAACUCCAAAGGAUUGAAAUUGGAAUUUCAUCAGAAAUUUUAUCCUAUGCAUCUUGUUCAUCGUGAUCGCAAUUAUAUAUAUAAUUUUUGGCCUCGCGAAGGAGAAAGCAUCGCUCAAGCUUGGGGGAGGCUUAAAUCAAUGUUAUAUUCAUGCCCCAAUCAUGAGCUCUCAAGAGAAAUAAUUCUUCAAAGUUUUUAUGCUCGGCUUUCUGAUAACAAUCGCACCAUGCUCGAUACUUCUUGUGCUGGCUCUUUUACGAUGAAGACUAUUGAAUUCAAAUGGAAUUUAUUGGAUAGAAUUAAACGCAACUCUGAAGAUUGGGAUCUUUACAAAGGUAAGGAGUCAAGUAUGACACCUAAGUUUGAUUGUGUUAAAUCUUUUAUGGAUACUGAUGUUUUCCAUAAAUUUAGCACUAAAUAUGGACUUGACUCUGAGAUAGUAGCUUCUUUCUGUGAAUCUUUUGCUACUUAUGUUGAUCUCCCCAAGGAGAAGUGGUUUAAAUAUCAUCCUCCCGUAGAAGUGAAAGUAGCUGCAGCUACUAAAGUUGAAGAAAAGACUGUCACUUAUAAUGAUCCCAUUGUUCCUACUUCUUAUGUUGAGAAACCACCUUUCCCUGUUAGGAUAAAGGAUCAUGCUAAAGCUUCAACCGUGGUUCAUAAAAGCAAUAUUAGAACUUAUACACCUCCUGAGCAAGUUAAAGUUGAACCUAAUAUUGCUAUUCUUAAAGAUCUCUUGGCUGAUAAUAUUGAUGGGCAUGUUAUUUAUUUCUGCGGUGAAACUGCUAGAAUUGCUAAGCCUUGUGCUAAAGAUAAACAUAGACCUCUGGUAGGCAUGCUUGUUAUUUCUGUUAAAAUAGGAGAUCAUUGUUAUCAUGGCUUAUGUGAUGUGGGUGCUAGUGCUAGUGUUAUACCUCAUGACUUAUACAAAGAAAUUAAGCAUGAGAUUGCACCUGCUGAGUUAGAAGAUAUUGAUGUUACAAUUAAACUUGCUAAUGGAGAUACUAUAUCAGCAAUGGGAAUUGUUAGAGAAGUUGAAGUCUUGUGUGGGAAAACUAAAUAUCCUGCUGAUUUUCUUGUUCUUGGUUACCCACAAGAUAGCUUUUGUCCCAUUAUAUUUGGUAGACCUUUCUUGGACACAGUUAAUGCUAGGAUAGACUAUGAAAAGAGUGUUGUUACUAUUGGCUUGGGUGAUAUGUCUCAUGAGUUUAAUUUCUCUAAAUUUAGUAGACAACACCGUGAAGAAGAAUUCCCUAGUAAGGAUGAAAUCAUUGGUCUUUCUUCUAUUGUCUUACCUCCUAGUGAUCCUUUUGAACAAUAUUUGCUACACCAUGAAAAUGAUAUGUUUAUGAAUGAAAUAAGGGAAAUAGAUGAAGUAUUCUUUAAACAGGAACCCAUUCUGAAACACAAUUUGCCUGUUGAAAUCCUAGGUGAUCCCGUGUUUGAGCUUAAACCGUUGCCUGAUACUCUUAAAUAUGCUUAUCUUGAUGAGAAAAAGAUAUAUCUUGUUAUUAUUAGUGCUAAAAUUUCAGAGCAUGAAGAAGAGAGAUUAUUGAAAACUCUGAAGAAGCAUCGUACUGCUAUUGGGUAUACUCUUGAUGAUCUUAAGGGCAUUAGCCCCACUCUAUGUCACCAUAAAAUAAAUUUGGAGGAAGAUGCCAAACCAGUUCGUGAUCAUCAACGACGUCUGAAUCCUAAAAUGAAAGAAGUGGUAAGAAAAGAAAUACUAAAGCUUCUGGAGGCAGGUAUAAUUUAUCCCGUUGCUGAUAGUCAGUGGGUAAGUCUUGUCCAUUGUGUCCCUAAGAAGGGAGGUAUUACCGUAGUCCCUAAUGAUAAAGAUGAAUUGAUUCCUCAAAGAAUUAUUAUAGGUUAUAGGAUGGUAAUUGAUUUCCGUAAAUUAAAUAAGGCCACUAAAAAGAUCAUUACCCCUUACCUUUUAUCGAUCAAAUGCUAGAAAGAUUAUCCAAACAUACACAUUUUUGCUUUCUAGAUGGUUAUUCUGGUUUCUCUCAAAUACCUGUGUCAGCCAAUGAUCAAUCAAAGACUACUUUCACUUGCCCUUUUUCUACCUUUGCCUAUAGAUGUAUGCCUUUUGGUUUAUGUAAUGUACCUGCUACCUUUUAAAGAUGCAUGAUGGCUAUAUUCUCUGACUUUUGUGAAAAGAUUUGUGAGGUUUUCAUGGACGAUUUUUCCAUCUAUGGGUCCUCUUUUGAUGAUUGCUUGAGCAACCUUGAUCGAGUUUUGCAGAGAUGUAAAGAAACUAAUCUUGUCUUGAAUUGGGAAAAGUGCCACUUUAUGGUUAAUGAAGGUAUUGUCUUGGGGCAUAAAGUUUCUGAAAGAGGUAUUGAAGUUGAUAAAGCCAAGGUUGAUGCUAUUGAAAAGAUGCCAUGUCCCAAGGACAUCAAAGGUAUAAGAAGUUUCCUUGGUCACGCCGGUUUUUAUAGGAGGUUCAUUAAGGACUUCUCAAAAAUUUCUCGGCCUCUAACUAAUUUAUUAAAAAAAGAUAUACCAUUUGUCUUUGAUGAUGAUUGUGUAGAAGCAUUUGAAAUACUUAAGAAAGCAUUGAUCUCUGCACCUAUUGUUCAGCCACCUGAUUGGAGUUUACCCUUUGAAAUUAUGUGUGAUGCUAGUGAUUAUGCUGUAGGCACUGUUCUAGGGCAAAGAGUUGAUAAGAAAUUAAAUGUUAUUCAAUAUGCUAGUAAAACUCUAGACAAUGCUCGGAGAAAUUAUGCUACUACUGAAAAAGAAUUAUUAGCAGUUGUAUUUGCCCGUGAUAAGUUCAGACCUUAUAUUGUUGAUUCUAAAGUGACUACUCACACAGAUCAUGCUGCUAUUAAAUAUCUUAUGGAAAAGAAAGAUGCUAAACCUAGACUUAUUAGAUGGGUUCUCUUGCUACAAGAAUUUGAUUUGCAUAUUGUUGAUAGAAAGGGAGCUAAGAACCCCGUUGCAGACAACUUGUCUAGGUUAGAAAAUGUUCUUGAUGACCCAAUACCUAUUGAUGAUAGCUUUCCUGAUGAGCAAUUAAAUGUCAUAAAUGCUUCUCGUGCUGCUCCAUGGUAUGUUGAUUAUGCUAAUUACAUUGUUACUAAAUUCAUACCACCUAGUUUCACAUACCAACAAAAGAAAAAGUUCUUCUAUGAUUUGAGGCAUUACUUUUGGGAUGACCCACAUCUUUAUAAAGAAGGAGUAGAUGGUGUUAUUAGACAUUGUGUACAUGAGCAUGAACAGGAACAGAUCCUACGCAAGUGUCACUCCGAAGCUUAUGGAGGACACCACGCUGGAGAUAGAGCUGCACAUAAGGUAUUGCAAUCUGGUUUCUAUUGGCCUACUCUCUUCAAGGAUGCCCGUAAGUUUGUCUUAUCUUGUGAUCAAUGUCAAAGAAUUGGCAAUAUUAGUAGACAUCAAGAAAUGCCUAUGAAUUAUUCACUUGUUAUUGAACCAUUUGAUGUUUGGGGCUUUGAUUAUAUGGGACCUUUUCCUGCCUCUAAUGGUUACACACAUAUUUUAGUUGCUGUUGAUUACGUUACUAAGUGGGUAGAAGCUAUUCCAACUAGUAGUGCUGAUCAUAACACUUCUAUUAAAAUGCUUAAAGAAGUUAUUUUCCUGAGGUUUGGAGUCCCUAGAUAUUUAAUGACUAAUGGUGGUUCACAUUUUAUUCAUGGUGCUUUCCGUAAAAUGCUUGCUAAGUAUGAUGUUAAUCAUAGAAUUGCAUCUCCUUAUCACCCUCAGUCUAGUGGUCAAGUAGAAUUGAGUAAUAGAGAGCUCAAAUUGAUUUUGCAAAAGACUGUCAAUAGGUCUAGAAAGAAUUGGUCCAAGAAACUUGAUGAUGCAUUAUGGGCCUAUAGAACUGCAUAUAAAAAUCCUAUGGGUAUGUCUCCGUAUAAAAUGGUUUAUGGAAAAGCAUGUCACUUACCUCUCGAACUAGAACAUAAGGCAUAUUGGGCUAUUAAAGAGCUCAACUAUGAUUUUAAACUUGCCGGUGAGAAGAGGUUAUUUGAUAUUAGCUCACUUGAUGAAUGGAGAACCCAAGCCUAUGAAAAUGCCAAGUUGUUUAAAGAAAACGUUAAGAGAUGGCAUGACAAAAGGAUACAAAAGCGUGAGUUUAAUGCAUGUGAUUAUGUAUUGCUAUACAACUCUCGUUUAAGAUUUUUUGCAGGAAAACUUCUCUCUAAAUGGGAAGGCCCUUACGUUAUCGAGGAGGUCUAUCAUUCCGGUGCCAUAAAAAUCAACAACUUCGAAGGCACAAAUCCGAAGGUGGUGAACAGUCAAAGAAUUAAACAUUAUAUCUCAGGUAAUCCUAUAAAUGUUGAAUCCAAUGUUAUUGAAACCGUAACCCCGGAGGAAUACAUAAGGGACACUUUCCGGAACGUUUCAGAUUCCGGAAAGGAAUAGGUAUGUGGUACGGUAAGUAAACCGACUCCAAAACAGUUUUUAAGGCAAUAUUUCUUCGUUUUGGAAUAUUUAGAAAAAAUAGAAAAAUAAGAAGUAGUUCGGGAAGGACACGAGGCCUCCACGAGGGUGGAGGGCGCGCCCUACCCUACUGGGUGCGCCCCCUACCUCGUGGGCACCUCGUGCGCUCUCCGGACUCCGUUUUCUUGCACGAUACAUAUUUUGGUCGGUAAAAAUUCAUUAUAUAUUCUCCCGAAGGUUUUGACUCCUGUAGCACGCAAUUAUCCGAUGUUCUUGUUUCGAGCUGUCCUGCUGCAGAUUAGAGCAACAUGUCGUCCCACGACUCGGAAGGAGAAAGCUAUGUGGAUGAGUACCUUGCAGAUCCUAAGGUAUAUGGAGAUGUGGAGCAUUGUGGUUGGAAUACAGAGGAAGAAGAGGACUAUGAACCCAAGAGGAAGGAGGAGACGAGCUCAGAUGAGGAUGAACCCCCACUACCUCAACCUGGGGACAUGCAUGUGGAGUUGAAAAAGUCAAGCCUCCCUGAUAGAACAAAGGAACCUAAGAUCAAGUUUAUCCCUUUUCGUCUCUCGCAGGAAAACAAGCACGAACUAUGCAAAAAGAUAUUAAUCCUGGAGCAGGAGAUUGACGACUUGAGGGAUCAAAAUUCUGUCCUCAAGCGCAAAUUAAGGAAGAAGCCUACACCAUCACCGAAGAAGGAGACAUGAUCAUAUGGAUAUGGGCACUCCCCUUGGCAACUGCCAAGCUUGGGGGAGGUGCCCCGGUAUCGUAUCACAAUCACACUCCUAUCUUUACCGUUUUUCUUAGUUCGAUCCUAUUAGUAGUAUCUUGAUCUAGUAGAAUAAAGUUUAUGGCAUGAUCUAGUUUUGAGUUUUGCUUUAUGAUCCCUCUAUGUAAUCGAGUCCAUGUGCUAUAUAAUAAAGAUUAGUGUUGAGUCAAGGGCUUGAUUAUUUUGCCAUGAUCUUGAGUGAAUAAAAGAAAAGAGAAAAAGAAUAAAAAGAAAUAAGGAGUUCAUAUUGAUCUUAUUGAGAGUAAUGACUUCACAUAGAAAGAGUAUGAUGAUUAAAAGUUGUUGGGAGUUGGCAAACAUAGCUUUGGUCAUUGUUGCAAUUAAUAGGAAGUAAUAAGGAAAGAGAGGUUUCACAUGUAAAUAUACUAUCAUGGACAUCUUUUAUGAUUGGGAGCACUCAUUAAAAUAUGACAUGCUAAAGAGUUGAUGUUGGACAAGGAAGACAACAUAAUGGGUUAUGUUGUCUUAUAUCUGAGAUAAAGUAUAUUGUCAUGGAUCAUCCAACAUGUUGAGCUUGCCUUUCCCCCUCAUGCUAGCCAAAUUCUUAGCACCAAGUAGAGAUACUACUUGUGCUUCCAAAAAACCCUUAAACCAGUUUUGCCACAAGAGUCCACCAUAUCUACCUAUGGAUUGAGUAAGAUCCUUCAAGUAAGUUGUCAUCCAUGCAAGCAAUAAAAAUUGCUCUCUAAAUAUGUAUGAUUGAUUGGUGUGGAGGAAAUAAGCUUUAUACGAUCUUGUGAUAUGGAAGAAAUAAAAGCGACGGACUGCAUAAUAAAGGUUCAUAUCACAAGUGGCAAUAUAAAGUGAUGUUGUUUCGCAUUAAGAUUCGAUGCAUCCAACCUUGAAAGCGCAUGGCAACCCCUGCUUCCCUCUGCGAAGGGCCUAUCUGUUACUAUUAUCUUCUACCUUAUGCAAGAGUCGUGGUGAUCUUCACCUUUCCUUUUUAUAUUUUAUCCUUUGGCAAGCACAGGGUGUUGGAAAGAUCCUGAUAGAUAUAUCUAAUUGGAUAUGGGUUAGCAUGAAUUGUUAUUGUUGACAUUACCCUUGAGGUAAAAGGUUGGGAGGCGAAACAAUAAUCCCCUAUCUUUCUCUGUGUCCGGUUAAAACUCCGUAACCACAAGUAUUGCGUGAGUGUUAGCAAUUAUGAAAGACUAAAUGAUAGCUGAGUACGUGGACUUGCUAAAGAGCUCUGACAUAGACUAUUUCUGAUGUUAUGAUAAAUAGCAAUUGCUUCAAUGACUGAGAUUAUAGUUUGUUAGUUCUCAAUAAGGUUUCUGAUUCAUACUUUGCAUUGUGACUAGAUUAUUACUUGAGCAUAAGAAAUCAUAUGACAAUAUCUAUAUAUGUUGCUGUUAUGAGAAUAAUCAUGAUGCCCUCAUGUCCGUAUUUUAUUUUUAUCGACACCUCUACCUCUAAACAUGUGGACAUAUUUAUCGUUAUCGGCUUCCACUUGAGGACAAGCGAGGUCUAAGCAUGGGGGAGUUGAUACGUCCAUUUUGCAUCAUGCUUUUAUAUCAAUAUUUAUUGCAUUAUGGGCUGUUAUUACACAUUAUGUCACAAUACUUAUGCCUAUUCUCUCUUAUUUUACAAGGUUUACAUAAGGAGGGAGAAUGCCGGCAGCUGGAAUUCUGGGCUGGAAAAGGAGCAAAUAUUAGAGACCUAUUCUGCACAACUCCAAAAGUCCCGAAACUCCACGAAAGUUAUUUUUAAAAAUAAUAAAAAAAUAUUGAGCGAAAGAAGUACGUUAGAGGGCGCCCCACCUGGCCACGAGGGUGGGGGCGCGCCCUACCCCCCCAGGGCACGCCCCCUGCCUCGUGGGCCCCCUGUUGGCUCUCCGGUGGCCAUCUUUUGCUAUAUGAAGUCAUUCGUCAAGGGAAAAAUCUGAAGCAACCUUUCGGGACGAGACUCCACCGCCACGAGGCGGAACCUUGGCGGAACCAAUCUAGUGCUCCGGCAGAGCUGUUCUGCCGGGGACACUUCCCUCCGGGAGGGGGAAAUCAUCGCCAUCGUCAUCACCAAUGCUCCUCUCACCGAGAGAGGGCAAUCUCCAUCAACAUCUUCACCAACACCACCUCCUCUCAAAACCCUAGUUCAUCUCUUGUAUCCAAUUCUUGUCUCCAAGUCUAGGAUUGGUACCUGUGGGUUGCUAGUAGUGUUAAUUACUCCUUGUAGUUGAUGCUAGUUGGUUUAUUUGGUGGAAGAUCAUAUGUUCAGAUCCUAUAUGCAUAUUAAUACCCCUCUGAUUAUGAACAUGAAUAUGCUUUGUGAGUAGUUACGUUUGUUCCUGAGGACAUGGGAGAAGUAUUGCUAUUAGUAGUCAUGUGAAUUUGGUAUUCGUUCGAUAUUUUGAUGAGAUGUAUGUUGUCUCUCCUCUAGUGGUGUUAUGUGAACGUCGACUACAUAACACUUCACCAUUAUUUGGGCCUAGAGGAAGGCAUUGGGAAGUAAUAAGUAGAUGAUGGGUUGCUAGAGUGACAAAAGUUUAAACCCUAGUUUAUGCGUUGCUUCGUAAGGGGCUGAUUUGGAUCCAUAUGUUUCAUGCUAUGGUUAGGUUUACCUUAAUACUUUUGUUGUAGUUGCGGCUGCUUGCAAUAGAGGUUAAUCAUAAGUGGGGUGCUUGUUCAAGUAAGAACAACACCCAAGCACCGGUCCACCCACAUAUCAAAUUAUCAAAGUACCGAACGCAAAUCAUAUGAACGUGAUGAAAACUAGCUUGACGAUAUUCCCAUGUGUCCUCGGGAGCGCUUUUCUUUAUAUAAGAGUUUGUCCAGGCUUGUCCUUUCCUACAAAAAGGAUUGGGCCACCUUGCUGCACUUUAUUUACUUUUGUUACUUGUUGCUCGUUACAAAUUAUCCUAUCACAAAACUAUCUGUUACCACUUAUUUCAGUACUUGCAGAGAAUACCUUGCUGAAAACCGCUUAUCAUUUCCUUCUGCUCCUCGUUGGGUUCGACACUCUUACUUAUCGAAAGGACUACGAUAGAUCCCCUAUACUUGUGGGUCAUUAGUGCCCACAAAACCUUUUCAGCUACAAGAAAUUGAAAAGGUCAUAAAAGAAAUGCCCACUGAUAAGGCACUAGGGCCAGAUGGUUUUAAUGGCCUUCUCAUAAAGAAAUGUUGGUCUAUCAUUUCCAGUGAUUUCAUUAGGUUGGUGAAUGAAUUUCAUGCAGGCACUGCUCUUUUGGAAAAUCUCAAUGAAGCUUUCAUUAAUUUAAUCCCAAAAAAGCAAACACCUGAGGGUGUAGGAGAUUUUAGGACAAUCUCCUUGACAAGUGUGGGACUGAAAUUUUUGACUAAAUUGGCAGCUAACAAGUUUCAAGAUGAAAUCACCAACUGUGUUCAUAAGAAUCAGUAUGGCUUCAUUAAAUCAAGAACAAUUCAAGAUUGUAUUGCUUGGACUUUUGAGUAUAUUCAUCAAUGCAACCAUUCAAAGAAGCCAAUCAUACUGCUCAAGCUGGACUUUGAAAAAGCUUUUGACUCUAUUCAGCAUGAGGCAAUUUUGAAAAUUCUUGUGGCAAAAGGUUUUGAUAGCAAAUGGAUCACCUGGGUUCAACAACUACUAUCUUCUGCAACUUCAUCUAUCCUGUUAAAUGGUGUACCUGGAAAACAUCUCAAGUGCAAAUGUGGUGUAAAGCAGGGAGACCCUAUCUCUCCUUUGCUUUUUCUGAUUGCUGCUGAUCGUUUGCAGACUAUGAUCAAUGAUCUUCUGUGUAAGGGUCUGCUAACCUUGCCAUUGCCAACACACGAUCCUGAUUAUCUAGUGGUGCAGUAUGCUGAUGACACUUUACUAUUUGUGAAUGCUGACUCAGCUCAGUUGGAGGUCCUCAAAAUAGUGUUGAAAUCCUUUUCUUUGGCAACUGGACUUCAAAUUAACUUCCAUAAAUCUUCAAUGUACCCAAUCAAUGUGGAGUCCUCUGUUGCUACUGCACUUGCUGCUCUGUUUGGUUGCCAGCUAGGUUCAAUGCCCUUCACUUAUUUGGGACUUCCUGUUGGAACCACUCGGCCCAAAAUUGUAGAUUUGCUACCUUUGGUGGACUGCAUGGAAAGAAGGCUAACUGCUAGCUCUUGGUUCUUACCACAAGGCAGUAGGUUGCAACUGGUAAAUUCAGUGAUAUCUUCAUUGCCUGUUUUCUUCCUUUCUAGUCUAUCGUUGCCACAAGGAAUUCUAAAGCAAUUAGAAAGGAUUCAGAGACAGUGCCUCUGGAGGAAAUAUGGACAAGAGAAGGGGCACUCUUUGGCUGCUUGGCCCCUUGUCUGCAAGCCUAUGAUGAAGGGGGCCUUGGAAUUUUGAAUCUGGGACUACAGAAUGAUGCACUGCUUCUUAAGUACCUGAAUAAAUUCUAUAAUAAAGCAGAUGUGCCAUGGGUACGUUUGGUGUGGGACUCAUACUACUUUCAGAGAAUUCCUCAUGACACUACUCUAUGUGGAUCUUUCUGGUGGAGGGACAUUUGCAAAUUAAUGGACAAGUUUAGGGAUGUUACCUCUGUCUCUGUUGGAAGAGGGGAUUCUGUGUUAUUUUGGUCUGAUCAUUGGGAAAUUGACCAGUCUUGCAUUCCUCUGCAAGAAAGGUUUCCAAGGCUUUUCUCAUUUUGCCUACAGAAGAACCUCUCUGUCAUGGAAGUGGUACAGACAGGAAAUUUGCAGAAAAUGUUUUCCUUACCAUUGUCUGAACUGGCUUUUAGGGAGUUCAAUCAGUUAUCAAGCUUGUUAGAUAUGACCUUCUUGGACAAUGAUUGUAAUGAUAAAUGGAAUUGGAGGCAUGGAAAAAAGGCAGAGUACUCAGCAAAAAUGUACUAUGAUUUUGCCCAUCAGCCUGUUUCUGCCAAUCCUAUUCUGAGCUGGGUUUGGAAGAGUUGAUGUACCAUGACAAUUAAAAUGUUUGCCUGGCUGGUAAUUAUGGACAGAAUUAACACCAAGGAUAUGAUUCAAUGACGCCAUUGGAAAAUUGAUGAUGGACCUAGUUGUGUCCUAUGCCCGACUGGAGUACUUGAGGAUAGGAACCAUCUGUUCUUCCAAUGUAACUUUAGUAUGAGAAUAUGGAACUAUCUGCAGGUUUCCUGGUUGGAUAGCAACGCUAUGGUGCAAAUUACCUUACAUGCCAGGAGGGAGUUUAAUAAGCCUUUCUUCUCAGAGGUGGUAUUUCUUGCAUGGUGGAAUAUUUGGGAAGUUCGGAAUGACAGGGCUUUUAGGCAGGUCAAACCAACUUUUAGGCAGUGGAGAAAUGGGUUUAUCCAUGAUAUUACUCUUCUUUCACACCGGAUCAAGACCAGAUACAAGGAAGCUCUACUCAAAUGGAUUGAUUUCUUGCCCCCUUGAGGCCCUUCUUAUUUGUAUCUUCUUUCUUUCCUAGUAAUAGAUUUUAGUGCCUCUCCUUUCUUUUAUUAGAUUUCUUUAGCCUUUCUUGUAUAGUUUUUUUUGUUUCUUUGUUCCUCCUCUUGAGGAAUCAUGUAUUUGUACCUUGUUUUUCUUUCUAAUAAAAUGCUGUGGGGUGUAAGCCCUGCAGUCUUCUAGGUAAAAAAAACCAAAUUGUAUACCUAUCAGUACAUGUGACACAUAUGAGGUAUCAUACACAAUUUUUAAUCAAACUAUAAAAAAUAGCGCGCCAGCAUGAGUUGAAAUCUAGACCUCUAGGUCUAAGGAGAAGCACACUAACCAACUAGAACAUCCUAAUGCUGGUGUCUAUUUACUUCUUUUUUUGUAUUUUUCUACUCAGUUAGCGGCUGGGCUGGCCCAUUAUUGAACCGGUAUAUCAGUAUUCAUUUUUUCUAUUUCUUUUUUCUUUUUUCUUUUUUACUUUUUCAUUUCUUUUUUCUUUUUCCAAAAAUGCUCACACUUACAGUUUGUUUUAAAAAAUCGUAAAAAUGUUCACUUUUUAAAAUUUUGUUCACAACAUACAAAUAUUCGCAUUUUAAAAAAUUGUACAGACAUGUAAAAAAUUGUUCGUUCAAAUAGAAAAAUGCUCACAUCAAUAUAAUUAAAUAGAAAAAAUAUAUCUUAAAUAGAAAAAAUAUUUGUUUAAACAAAAAAUGUUUGUUUAUUGUUCGUUUAAAGAGAAACAUACUCACAUAAAAAAAUUGAAAACUUUUGAAAUUUCUGACCAUCUAUUAAAUAUAAAAAUGAAAAUGAAAAUAUAUAAAUCAGUGACCUGUUUAUUGUUCUUUUUUGUUUCUUUUUCGUUCUUCUUGUUUUUCAUUUUCCAUUUUUGUUCUUUUUCUUUUUCGAAAAAUGCUCGGGUCUGCCGCAGGGUGAGUCCAAAGGACUUUUUUUCCAGCUCCACCAAAUAACCCCAAACUUUUUGCACACAUUAGCAUCACCAUGGACAACAUGCAUACUAAUUUUCAUCGAUUUCUUACACUUGAUGCAUUUCCUAUGAUCUUCCCGGUGAAAAAACCCUAAAACACUGGUCGGACGUGAUGCAAUGUUCGUUCAUUGGACCUUCCCACAUGGUGGAAAAGUUUGAUGUCAUUUCAUGCAUGCCACCACAUAGCACAUGUGCAACCAGCAUCGUUCGGGUCUGUUGGAGGAGGAGUCUGAAGGAUGUUUUUUAACUCCACCAAAUGACCCAGACUUUUUUAAGACAUUGGCAUCACCAUGGACAUCAUGCAUUCCAAUUUUCAUCGAUUUCCGACAUUUCCUAUAAUUUUCCUGGUGAAAAUCCUAAAACACUGGCUCGACGUGACGUAACGUUCAUUUGGUAUCCGAAUUCAUUCAAAUCUUGUGUGGGGGGUACAUUGGGCAUUACCACAUGGAGGCAAAGUUUGGUGUCAUUUCAUUCAUGCCACCACAUACCACAUGUGCAACCAGCACCGUUCGGGUCUGCCAUAAGGGGAGUCCGAAGGACGUUUAUUUUCAACUCCACCAAAUGACCCCAAACUUUUUCACACAUUAGCAUCACCAUGUAUAACAUGCAUACCAAUUUUCAUUGAUUUCCGACACUUGAUGCAUUUUCUAUGAUUUUCCAGGUGAAAAAACCCCAAAACACUGGCCGGACGUGACGCAACGUUUGUUUUUUGUCCGAAUUUGUUCAAAUCUUGCGUGGGGGCCUACAUUGUGCAUUUUCACAUGGUGGCAAAGUUUGGUGUCAUUUCAUGCAUGCCACCACAUAGCACAUGUGCAACCAGCACCAUUUGGGUCUGCCGCAGGGGGAGUUCGAAGGACGUUUGUUUUUCAAUUCCAGCAAAUGACCUCAAUUUUUUCACACAUUGGCAUCGCCAUGGACAGCAUGCAUGCCAUUUUUCAUCGAUUUCCGACACUCGAUGCAUUUCCUAUGAUUUUUUUCGGUGAAAAAUCCUAAAAAAACUGGCGGGACGUGACACAACGUUCGUCCGUGUCUGAAUUUCUUCAAAUAUUGUGUGGGGGACUACAUUGGGCAUUCCCACAUGAUGACAAAGUUUAAUGUCAUUUCAUGCAUGUCACCACAUAGCACAUGUUCAACCAGCAUCGUUCAGGUCUGCCGGAGGAGGAGUCCGGAGGACUUUUUUUUCAACUCCACCAAAUUACCCCAAACUUUUUUCUCACAUUGGAAUCACCGUGGACAACAUGCAUGCCAAUUUUCAUCAAUUUCCGACACUCAAUGCAUUUCCUAUGAUAUUCUCGGUGAAAAAAAAUCCUAAAACACUGGCCGGACGUGUCACAACAUUUGUUUGGUGUCCGAAUUCGUUCAAAUCUUGUGUGGGGGCCUAUAUUGGCAUUUCCACAUGGUUGCAAAGUUUCAUGUCAUUUAAUCCAUGCCACAAUUUAGCACAUGUGCAACCAGUACCGUUCGGGUCUGCCGAAGGGGGAGUACGAAGGACAUUUUUUUCUACUCCACCAAAUGUCCCCAAACUUUUUUCACACAUUGGCAUCACCAUGGACCACAUGCAUUCCAAUUUUCAUCGAUUUCUGAUACUCGAUGCAUUUUCUAUGAUUUUUCCGGUGAAAACCCCAUAAAACACUGGCCGGACGUGAUGUAACGUUCGCUUGGUUUCCGAAUUCGUUCAAAUCUUGCAUGGGGGCCUACAUUGGGCAUUCCCACAUGGUGGCAAAGUUUGGUGUCAUUUCAUACAUGCCACCAUAUAGCACAUGUGCAAUCAGCACCGUUCGUGACUACCGGAGGGGGCGAAUGACUUUUUUUAACUCCAACAAAUGACCCCAAACUUUUUUCAUAUAUUGGCAUCACCAUGAACAGCACCAAGAACAUUGGCAUCAAUAAGAACAUUGGCAUCACCGUGGACAGCACCAAUAUUUCUUUUUUCACACAUUGGAAUCGACAAGAACAUUUUUUUGUAUUUCAAACAAUAUUUCAAAAUUUUAAAAAGGUUUCAAAAGAAAAAUAAAGUUCAAAAAAGAUAAUGAAUUGACAUGAAAAUAGAAAUUGUCGUUAUUUCGCAUUAUAUGGACAUGGAGCGAAUGCCAAAAGCAUAUAUGAAAGCAGUGUAACUAAAGGAAGUUUAUGAAUAUCAGGGAAGCAUAUUUUCUAUCAAACUAAAUACAUUAUAUCGAAGCAAAGUUCAGUGGUGUCGGUAUUAUCGACGUCGAGUAACACCGGAAGCAAAAUAUGCUUCUUGAAGGAAAAUAAUAGAAAAUUGAAACAAUAUUUUGUUUCUAAAUAAAUAAUAAAAACAAAUUGUUACAUUGGACGUAAAACUUUAUUCGAUUGAAGCAAAUUUAACAUGUACGUGAAGCUAACUUUAGUAGGAAGAGAAACAAAAUUUCAUCCAGUACAAAAGAGAGAAUAAGUCGUCGCUUGAUUUGUGGGUCUGAUUAGUUUGAGAAAUAGAAUUACAUGGAAAUAAAGAUAGACCCACGUUCCAUUCCAACCAAUCGUAAUUUUUGGGACCAAUUAAUUCUAGGAAGCACAUUAGACAGGACCAAUUAAUUCUUCAAAGCAGAUUCAUAGGAAACUACCACGAGAAAGACCAGCAGGUUCCUUUUAAUCGAACGGACAUAAGCGACCUAGUCAUAUGGUAUUGGGCAAGUCAAUGCUACCUGAUUCCUUAGAGGUACCUUAUAUAUUUUUUGCUUACCAAUAUCAUCAGCCAGAGCGUAGUUUUUGAAGGGAACAAUUGCUAUUCCAUUACAGAGACCUGCUGGUUAAAUCCCCAGCUACAGAGUUCAUUACAAGUUCAGGAAACUGGCCUAACCAGAUUUCGUACAUGCCAUCUCCUAAGCUAGCUCCAUGUGCUGCUAAGACAUGCGCUGCAUUGUUACAAGACCUAGGGCAUACAUAAAGUUUUACAUUCUCAAAAGCGACCCUCAGUUGAAAUUUUAU